GAUGAACGCUGGCGGCGUGCCUAACACAUGCAAGUCGAGCGAACAGACGAGGAGCUUGCUCCUCUGACGUUAGCGGCGGACGGGUGAGUAACACGUGGAUAACCUACCUAUAAGACUGGGAUAACUUCGGGAAACCGGAGCUAACACCGGAUAAUAUAUUGAACCGCAUGGUUCAAUAGUGAAAGACGGUUUUGCUGUCACUUAUAGAUGGAUCCGCGCCGCAUUAGCUAGUUGGUAGGGUAACGGCUUACCAAGGCGACGAUGCGUAGCCGACCUGAGAGGGUGAUCGGCCACACUGGAACUGAGACACGGUCCAGACUCCUACGGGAGGCAGCAGUAGGGAAUCUUCCGCAAUGGGCGAAAGCCUGACGGAGCAACGCCGCGUGAGUGAUGAAGGUCUUCGGAUCGUAAAGCUCUGUUAUUAGGGAAGAACAGAUGUGUAAGUAACUAUGCACGUCUUGACGGUACCUAAUCAGAAAGCCACGGCUAACUACGUG
This 497-nucleotide ribosomal RNA is filed under the name uncultured bacterium. RNAcentral describes it as "partial 16S ribosomal RNA". It matches the Rfam family "Bacterial small subunit ribosomal RNA", at positions 28 to 507 of the family's 1533-position model. The record is from RNAcentral.